RNAcentral lists this transfer RNA (75 nucleotides) under Hyphomicrobium sp. RNAcentral's name for it is "tRNA-Val". It matches the Rfam family "tRNA". From Rfam's summary of the family: Transfer RNA (tRNA) molecules are approximately 80 nucleotides in length. Their secondary structure includes four short double-helical elements and three loops (D, anti-codon, and T loops). Further hydrogen bonds mediate the characteristic L-shaped molecular structure. tRNAs have two regions of fundamental functional importance: the anti-codon, which is responsible for specific mRNA codon recognition, and the 3' end, to which the tRNAs corresponding amino acid is attached (by aminoacyl-tRNA synthetases). tRNAs cope with the degeneracy of the genetic code in two manners: having more than one tRNA (with a specific anti-codon) for a particular amino acid; and 'wobble' base-pairing, i.e. permitting non-standard base-pairing at the 3rd anti-codon position. Lineage: Bacteria; Pseudomonadati; Pseudomonadota; Alphaproteobacteria; Hyphomicrobiales; Hyphomicrobiaceae. The record is from RNAcentral. RNAcentral also lists the same sequence under 15 other names.
GGGCAGUUAGCUCAGCGGUAGAGCACUACCUUGACAUGGUAGGGGUCACAGGUUCGAUCCCUGUACUGCCCACCA